Molecule: long non-coding RNA, 355 nt
Filed under: Androctonus crassicauda
Lineage: Eukaryota; Metazoa; Arthropoda; Arachnida; Scorpiones; Buthidae
Source: RNAcentral
CUCCAAUGGGAGAGAUUCUGAGUUAUCAACCAAUUUCUGACAACCUGCCCAAAUGCAUCAGACCUGAUGCCCAGGACAGACUGAGAUCUGUUAAAGGAAUGAGAAGCCUCUCUUUUUUGGCCAGCCCAUCUGCACCUUAUUGCUCUCAAUCCCUUGAGCCCUCAUACUCAAACAGAUUGAACUCUAUUCCUGGUAGCCACUUCUACAAUGAAAUGACAAUAUUUCCACACAAAUUUUAAAGUAAAGUAAGAGCUAUCAAGUGCUUAUAAUUUGCAGCUUGACUAUUUGAUAGAAUAUAAAUAUGUUUAUUAACAUAUCUCCUAUUAAGACUGAUUUUAACACAUUCAGAAAUAGC